UACGAAGGGUGCUAGCGUUGUUCGGAAUCACUGGGCGUAAAGCGCGCGUAGGCGGCUUAGCAAGUCAGAGGUGAAAUGCCAGGGCUCAACCCUGGAACUGCCUUUGAAACUGCUAAGCUAGAGUGUCGGAGGGGAUAGCGGAAUUGCUAAUGUAGAGGUGAAAUUCGUAGAUAUUAGCAGGAACACCGGUGGCGAAGGCGGCUAUCUGGACGACAACCGACGCUUAGGCGCGAAAGCGCGGGGAUCAAACAGG
This 253-nucleotide ribosomal RNA is filed under the name uncultured bacterium. Its description in RNAcentral is "partial 16S ribosomal RNA". It matches the Rfam family "Bacterial small subunit ribosomal RNA", at positions 524 to 776 of the family's 1533-position model. The record is from RNAcentral.